This is a long non-coding RNA of Nomia melanderi (Alkali bee), 823 nucleotides long. RefSeq lists it as uncharacterized. Lineage: Eukaryota; Metazoa; Arthropoda; Insecta; Hymenoptera; Halictidae. The record is from RefSeq and is a predicted model, not a curated record.
GAUAAAAUAUGAACUCGUGCGAAAAUGAGGGAAAAGGGGAAAAUGCGGAUAUAAAGAUAUCAAUGAUCUUUGGUCACUGGAUAAAAGGAACGAGAUGUUUGUCGAUUCUUGUCAGAAGCAUUAAUAGCAGACUCCACAUGGUAAUACCAGAUCUAGAGGAUUGUGGACAUUGAUUUCUCUGUGAAAAAGUCUAAGCCAAGAAAGAUGAAAAUAAUGUAUCGAGAAGUGCAUGCUUGGAACAAGAGUGGAAGACAAAGAAGAAAGGCAAGAGGAAAGCAAAAAAGGAAGAAGGGAACACCGACGACGCUGGAUAAAUAUAAUUCGUUAACCGAUGAUGUUAGGACAUCACCCCCGACUCUAGCAAGUCUCGAGUGUACCAACAUUAUUUCUGGCAUUGACUCCCAGCACGGUGUACGAUCUGACGACGAUACCGUCAUCUUCCGUGACUCACGAAACCCGAAAUACAACGUACAUUCGAGGUGAUCAUUUAAGCUCCCGCCAUCUCUUUAAAAUCGAACCAUAUUUAUCGUUUUACAUUUCUUCAUUAAACGAAUUUUUUAUACAAUUCUAUUUCAUCAUUAACGAAGAUCGUAUAUAUUAGAGAAUAACUACAAACGUAAACCGAUCGGGGAACAAAGGAUUUUACACGCAACAACGAUACAGAUAAUGAACUGAAAUAUUUGUUUCUUUAUUCAAUGAAACAGAACCGUUUUCUUUAUUAUGAAUAAUAUAUCUACACGAGCAAGCAGUUAGAUAUAAAAGAUAAAAUAAAAAUAAAAGUAGAAAAAAUAUUUAUGUAGUACUGAUACAAGUGAAUGGAAAU